UACGUAGGUGGCAAGCGUUAUCCGGAUUUACUGGGUGUAAAGGGCAUGUAGGCGGGAAAGCAAGUCAGAUGUGAAAACCACGGGCUCAACCUGUGGCCUGCAUUUGAAACUGUUUUUCUUGAGUACUGGAGAGGCAGACGGAAUUCCUCGUGUAGCGGUGAAAUGCGUAGAUAUGAGGAGGAACACCAGUGGCGAAGGCGGUCUGCUGGACAGCAACUGACGCUGAGGCGCGAAAGCGUGGGGAGCAAACAGG
Molecule: ribosomal RNA, 253 nt
Filed under: uncultured bacterium
Lineage: Bacteria
Description: partial 16S ribosomal RNA
Rfam family: Bacterial small subunit ribosomal RNA
Source: RNAcentral